ACUUUUCCCUUCAUUUCCAUUUCCUUUUGUGAUUUUGAUACAAGUCAAGAUUUGUUGACCAUUCAUUUAUGUCUUUCCUAAUAACCGUUUACUCGCAUAACCUUUAAUCAAUGUUGACCUUUAAAAUUGUGAAUCUCUUUAGUGCUUUUACAGUGGAAUUAUAUUCUGAAAAUGUGUUUAAAUCAAAGAAUCUUCUUAUUCUGAUUUUGGCGAUCAUGAUUGACCAUCACUUUGCCAUGUUUUACAGCUUCUCAUCACCUUAAGGAACAAAUUAAUUCUUCCAAAAUUCUAAACAGAUUAUCACAGUGAAUCUGUUUACAAAUUACUUGACAUGAAUUGAGUAUUACCUGUUAAUCUGUUCAUCUCUUCUGUAUAAUAAAUCUAUUUUAACAUUCUGUUAGUCGAACAUUAUUUUCACAUUUCAUCUUCUUCUCUCUCCCAUGAUUAUGAUUGUUGAUACAUUUGAUGCACAACUAAGCAAACAACUAACCUAGUAAUUGAUGUUUUUACUGGCAACAUUUCAUGCAUCAGAUUACUUUACCUCUGUUAACGCACAAUUAAAGUCAUGUUUAUACAAUCUCUUAAAGGCUUUCCUCAUCACUUUCAGCCUCACAAUCCUAAAGCAUUUGUUUGUCCAGUAAACAGUUUUGUUCAUAAACAGCAACUUUACAUAAAAAAAUGAAAACUAAAUCAAGUGUUUACUUUAAAUCUAAUCAAUUGAUUUACCAUUCAGAGUUGCUCACAGAAUAAAGUCAAUCAUUUUUCCAUGUUUACUAGUGAAAUGAUGAACAAUGAAACAGGGAAGGAAGAUGCUUAAUGAGGAUGCAACUAAUGAUUGUAGCUAUUAUUUUACUUGAACAGCUUAUUAGCAUUGAACAUCCUUUGACAUCAUUUAAGAUCCAUGAUAAUAUUGAUUUGAUAAACUUGUCAGUAUAAUAGUAAACUCUUUCUUCUCCUUUUUUUGUCAUCUUCUUGCAUCUUCCAUCUUCUUGUUUGUUAUUGUUGUCAAUUGCCUUUCAUUUCCACUCUUCAAGUAUCAACAUGAACAUGUGAAUGAUAAUAAUAAUGAUAAAGAGGAUUGAACAAGAAAAGUAAUCAAAGUAAUUUUCUCUUGUAAAGAUGAUAAAGAUUUGGAAGGAAAAGUUAUUUCGAUGAGAAUACUAACAAUCUAUGAAUAUCUCAGGUGACCUUGUUAUUAGUCUUUUAUUGCUACCAGAAUAUUCACCUUUUAUUGUCUUCUUUCUCAUCAUUUCCAUCAUCUUAAAUCUUCUUAUACAACUUAUUCAACUUAUGAUGGCACUUUUACUCUGUAAUCCGAUUAAACUUGCAAUCAACAAGAAAAAAAGUCAACAAUUAUUUGGAAAAAAACUGUUAAUUUCCAUGAUUAUUCAUGUUGCAUUGAAUUUCAUCUUUGCUUCUGUUGAUCGGAAAUUAUCCAUUUUCUCGAUUAUUAAAUGUUGCCCAUGAUAAACUGAUGAACUGUAAUCAUUUAUUUUUCGUAGGAGAAAAAGUGAAACAAGUUUUCAUGAAAUAUUGUUUCUUUACGUUAUCAAACAUUUCUCGUUACCAAUUGAUGAAGGUAAAGAUUACAGUCUUGAUCAAGUUAACUCUUGUAAUAACAGUUUCAAGUUGGUGAUUAUCAUCAUUUGUUUCCAAAUCCUAAUAAUUUGUCAAUCUGAUUAACGGAACAAAAUUGCAACCAUAUUUUACUUUGUCUGAUAAUUUUAGUUUAUUAGGUUCAUUUCAACAUUGCCAAUCAUUUUUAAUCAGCAAUAAAUCAAAAAAUUGAUUCUAAUGAUGCACUUUACUCAAAGCCUUAACUGCAACUUUCAUCUCUCUUUUACCUUCAUCAAAAGUAUUUACAAAUGAUUAAAGUAGCAUUUGGUGAAA
Molecule: non-coding RNA, 1890 nt
Organism: Tetranychus urticae (two-spotted spider mite)
Lineage: Eukaryota; Metazoa; Arthropoda; Arachnida; Trombidiformes; Tetranychidae
Source: RefSeq, a predicted model, not a curated record